This 75-nucleotide transfer RNA is filed under the name Candidatus Saccharimonadota bacterium. RNAcentral describes it as "tRNA-Arg". It matches the Rfam family "tRNA". Rfam says of the family: Transfer RNA (tRNA) molecules are approximately 80 nucleotides in length. Lineage: Bacteria; Candidatus Saccharimonadota. RNAcentral also lists the same sequence under 1 other name. The record is from RNAcentral.
GGAGCCGUCGUUCAACGGAUAGGACCCAGACCCUCUAAGUCUGCGAUACAGGUUCGAUUCCUGUCGGCUCUACCA